CCCUGAGAUGAACCAUAGUCGUAUCGUGACUAAAUCAGGCGAUACAAUAAUUCAACCAUCUGUGUUUUACUAUGUUAAUAGAACGCAGUAUUAAUUAAUUAAGUAAAUAAACUUGACAGCAAUGUCGGAGGAAUUUUUUAAACAUGCAGUUGGAUGAUCUAUCAUAGUGGAAGUUGCACCAGAAGCUUCCUAGUACACAAUAGAUAAAGUGAAGUACAUUAUUGAAUUAAGAAUACAUUGUACCAUAGACCAUAAAAGGAGAGGGUCUAAGUUCAUAAUUCUGUUCAGUAGCUUGAUAUUGCAACUUAACCAACACUCUACAUGUAGUGUUUAACUCUUAAGGAUUUUACAACUAUCAAUCUUUAUAAGACACAUGUGCGCGACAUGUGAUUCCGAAUUCUUCUUACUUGACUAAUUAGCAAUGUUGACAGUAGGCGUAUGCAUAGACUGUCAGGGCCAGCCUUACAAAUUGCGGGCCCCAAUUUAAUGUAUGCUAUUGAGACGCUCUUCUAAUAUUUAUUUUUUACAACAAGAACUAUUUUUAUUAAUUGGAUCAUUAUAUCAACAUUUAUUAUAUAAACAUGCAAUAGGAAACAAUAAAUGCAAUAUGCGCCGUUGGGUUAAUGAAAGUUACGUUAAUUAUAUGAUACUCUGAAUAUGUUAAUCCUGUAAGUCCUACAUCUUUGAAAGCCUGUGACAAAAGCUAUGACUGAUGCUAAAUGUACUUUUUUUGGGCCCCUGCUUGGGCCUCAAUUUGGAGCAUUAUGUAAAAUUGGCCUAGGGCCGCAGCUGUAUGCAUACCUGCAUGUCAGGGUGUUUUGUGCUUAAGAUAUAAACCUUUCCCCUUUAUGAAGCUUUCUAGCUUAUUAGUCGACUAAUUGUAAAAUGUUGAAAAACACUAACAUAGAAAUGUGUACUGGAACUUAAUCAAGGUUCAAACAAACUUCAGAUAGUUGAGAUAAGGUUAAUUGUGAACAGUUCUAAUGCAAAAUUAUGUCUAACAUCCUAUAUAGGAGACGCGAUGGCUGAGCGGUAAAGCUGAGGUCCAAAGGUUCAAAUCUUAGUGAAGGCUGGGAUUUUCCAUUUCGGGAUCUUGAGCGCCUCUGAGUCCACCCAGCUCGAUUGAGUACCUUACAGUUGGUGUAAAGUAAAGGCGGUUGGUUGUUGUGCUUGCCACCUGACAGCCUCGUAAAACCGUGGGCCACAGAAACAGAUGACUUUUACAUCAUCUGCCCUAUUUAUAGAAAAGGUCUGAAAGAGGAACAUAACUCUUUUUACUAAACUACCUAUAUGCCUGAAUACGAAAUAAAAUAUCUAGACAUUUUAUCAUUUUCUUUUAUAAUAAUUCUUUAAAACGCUGAUUAAAAUUUCGCACAGUUUUGUUAUAUUCCAGGACAAAUGACCCGUAGAUAAUAUUAGUGCCCAACAUGCCUACCAGUUGAUAUUUGUAUCAGAAAUUCAGUGUUAGACUAAAAUAAUAAUAAAUAUAUACUUCAUAAAACUAAAGUCACACCAUCAUCAGAAAAUUGAAUGACACUAAUUUAACAAUCACUUACUUCACGAAGCUGAACUAUUGUCUCUUUGUGUCACAGUCAAAGUGGAUCAUUUGUGUUUAAAGUAUGCUCAGGAAGUACAGAACGGUGUCUAAUGUAUGAUUAGAAGUUCCUAGUUAAAUAUGACUAAAUGAUUGUCAUGUCAAGUACAUGGUAAACAUAAAAAUACUACUUCUAGUUUCCUGUUUGUUUGGGGUUUUUGUAUUGGAAAGAUAUGCAAAUUAAAUGAAGAAAAAACAAUUCGGAAUAAAAAGAUCGGACAGAGUGGAAACAAUAUUGAUCUCACUAUUUAAUUAGAACCUGUUAAUAAAACAGACAACUUUAAAAUUCUUGAAGUGUGUAUUAAAAUGGUUAAUUUUGUCGUGAUGGUAUGGCAAUCUGAACAUUAAAAAUAAAAAUAAACUUCAUAGAACCCUAAAUGCUGCUGGCAAAGUCAUUGACAAAAAAACAAAAAAAAAACAACAACAUUUGGGCAGCUGUUUGAGACAAACAUCCAUAAAACAUCCAUAAAAAAGCUAAGAUUCUAGAAAUAAAAAUAAACCCUUGGGUCAGGAUUUUGUGAUAUUACCAUCACAAAAGAGGUACAAGACACCGAUACCAAAGACAGACACACUCUUUUGUUCCCCUGGCAAUCAAAUCAUUAAAUAGAAACAAUUUGAUAUAAACUUUUCAUAUGUAAUGUAUGAGUGAGUCUGGUGUGAAUGUACAUUUUGACUUUUAUAGUUAUAAUGUUUUGUUUAUAAUGCACAAAUUGUAAGAAAAAUUUCCUUACGGACAUGUUUUACUGUUGUUUUUUUUUGGUUUAAAUUAAUGUGUAACUGCUAUUAUAAAGUAAAUGUUUCACUGAUAUAAAAAAUGAAUGUUUCAAUGCUAUUAUAAAAAUGAUUCACUGGUUGUAGCUUUAAAUUUCAGACUCUUCAAUAUGGAUAAUUUUACAGUCUCGCCAUUAUUAGCUAACCGAGCAUCGGCUUAAGACUGACUGUGAUUCGGGAAACCUUUGGGCUAAUGGGAAAAAAUCUCUCAUUUUUAGCCACACAGACCAAUCCUUUUCUUUGAUCAAGUAUCUCAAGGCCUUGCGUCAAAUAUGCAGGACACUUCUUUGCUUUUUCUCGUACACGUAUACAUG
Molecule: long non-coding RNA, 2679 nt
Organism: Biomphalaria glabrata
Lineage: Eukaryota; Metazoa; Mollusca; Gastropoda; Planorbidae
Exons: 2
Source: RefSeq, a predicted model, not a curated record